GACAGAGGCCUCAAGCGUUAGGCGGAAUCACUGGGCUUAAAGCGUGUGUAGGCGGAUCGUUAAGUGUCUUGUGAAAUCCCACGGCUCACCCGUGGAACGGCUGGGCAUACUGGCGAUCUUGGGCCAACUAGGGGCAACUGGAACAAGCGGUGGAGCGGUGAAAUGCGUAGAUAUCGCUUGGAACGCCGAAGGUGAAAACAGGUUGCUGGGGUUGUGCCGACGCUGAGACACGAAAGCCAGGGGAGCAAACGGG
Molecule: ribosomal RNA, 253 nt
Filed under: uncultured bacterium
Lineage: Bacteria
Description: partial 16S ribosomal RNA
Rfam family: Bacterial small subunit ribosomal RNA
Source: RNAcentral